Molecule: ribosomal RNA, 1608 nt
Filed under: Triticum aestivum (bread wheat)
Lineage: Eukaryota; Viridiplantae; Streptophyta; Magnoliopsida; Poales; Poaceae
Description: partial small subunit ribosomal RNA
Source: RNAcentral
AUGCGACGGACCCGGCCCGAACCCACGGAUCGAUCGCACUCGGAAGGAAUGCCGGCGCCGGCGCAGGCUCCGUCUGCCGCCGCCGCCGGCGGCGCGGCGUGGCGCCACCUGCUCCUCCUCCUGACCGCCCUCCCGCUCGCGCUCGCCCUCCUCGCGUUCGCGCUCCAGUGGCGCGGCGGCGGCGUGGACGACGCCGGCUCCCGCUGGCCCGCUCGCCUGGCCGUGCCGGCCCCGUCGAGGCUGCAGUCCCUCCACUCCUCCGCCGCAUCCUGCGUCGAGGUGCUCGCCGCCUCCGCCGCCCCCGCCUUCCCCUACCUCCGCGGCUGGUCCUUCCACUUCGACGCGCCGGACACCCACCACCCCAAGGUGUGCGUGCAGACGAGCACCUCCGCCGGCCUGGACCAGAUCCUGCCGUGGCUCUUCUACCACAAGGUCGUCGGCGUCGCGCACUUUUUGCUCUUCGUCGAGGGAAAGGCCGCCAAGCCCAGCGUCGCCGGCGUCCUCGAGUCCAUCCCCGGGGUGAAGGUGGUGUACAGAACCAAGGAACUUGAGGAGCAGCAGGCCCGGAGCCGCAUCUGGGACGAAACCUGGCUAUCAGGAUUCUUCUACAAACCCUGCAACUACGAACUGUUUGUGAAACAAUCGCUCAACAUGGAAAUGGCUAUCGUAAUGGCCCGGGAAUCUGGCAUGGACUGGAUAAUGCAUCUAGACACCGAUGAGUUGCUAUAUCCCGGUGGAGCUUCCGAGUAUUCCAUCAGACGCCUGUUAGCCGACGUCCCCGAGGAUGUUGACAUGGUUAUCUUUCCUAACUAUGAAAGCAGCGUCGAGCGUGAUGAUAUAAAAGACCCAUUCAGUGAGGUGUCUAUGUUCAAGAAGAAUUAUGAUCAUCUCCCCAAAGAUACUUACUUUGGCAUGUACAAGGAAGCAACAAGAGGCAAUCCUAACUAUUUCAUUACUUAUGGGAAUGGAAAAUCUGCUGCGCGAAUUCAAGAUCAUCUCCGGCCAAAUGGUGCACACAGAUGGCAUAACUACGCAAAGAGCCCAAAUGAGAUCAAGCUGGAAGAGGCUGCAGUUCUGCACUAUACAUACACCAAAUUUUCAGACUUAACAUCUAGACGUGAUCGCUGUGGAUGCAAGCCUACAAAAGAAGAUGUUAAAAGAUGUUUCAUGUUGGAUUUUGACAGAGCAGCUUUUAUAAUUGCAUCAACUGCUAGUGAAGAGGAUAUGCUUCGCUGGUACAACGAACGUGUCGUGUGGAACGAUAAGCAGCUCAAUCUGAAGCUUCUGCGAAAAGGAGUGUUAACUCGCAUCUAUGCCCCAAUGGCGAUCGUGCAAGGCCUGCGGGAGUAUGGCGUCUUCACCUCUGUCAUUGCAGCAGCCGUGGACAAUGCUAAAGUUCGACUGAAGGAAAGCGUUGACAGAAACAGCACCGAUCCUGACCAUGAAGAUGGACCUAGGACAUUCGUCGCAGCUAACGCUCGGAAGAUCUUGAACGUCGUCGAGCCCGCCCCUGCCUACAGGGAUGGCGGCGGUGCAUCCGCCGCUGUUCCCCCUUCGUCGCCCCCGGGUUUGGAUGACGCACGAGGGGAGGGGCUGGCUAGGUGGUGA